This 1800-nucleotide long non-coding RNA is filed under the name Citrus maxima (pomelo). RNAcentral describes it as "long non-coding RNA (CMAX_LNC002405)". Lineage: Eukaryota; Viridiplantae; Streptophyta; Magnoliopsida; Sapindales; Rutaceae. The record is from RNAcentral.
UUAGUUGGGUGACUUUCAUAGUGCUGGUUGAGCUAGAGGAAUGGAGAAAAUAUUCAAUCAUACGGACAUGCUAAAUUGAGAAAUUUUAUUGAAUGUGCUUUUGGUGUGUUAAGGGCGCAUUUUUCAAGUCUAAAGAGGAUGGCACCAUCUCAUUUGAUGCACAGAGAAAAAUGGUGGAGGCAUCCAUGGCAAUACACAAUUUUCUUUGCAAAAUCUUAGUAGACGGUCCAUUAUUUGCUCAAUAUGACAAUGAUGAAGUCGAACUAGAUAGUGUCCAUGGCCAUCAGAAUCAAACAGCUCAAUGCUAGCAACUCUUCAAGCAUUGAAGAUCAAAAUUUCAUUAUGCAAUUCCUAGAUCAAAUGGCAAAUCAAUUGUUUCAAUCAUCAUAUCAGUUUUUGUCUUAUUAUCUAAUAUUAUUAUGAAUUUGUGAUGAAAUUUGAAACUUAAGGUAUUUUAUAUUUUAAAAUUUCAGAAUCAUUAUGUAUUCAUUUGAAGAUGAUAUAUGUUAUAGGGAAUGUAAACUUAAACUAUUGGCUUCAAAAUGCCUGCACAAAUUUUAAUUCGUUAAUCUCAUGUAAUAUAAAGUUGAUAGUUGAAUUAAAUAUUUAAUCUAGAGAGAGAGAGAGAGAGAGAGAGAGGUACUUGUUGUCUAUGGUGAGGAUGUGUAGCGACUUGGCCAUCAUUACUUAAAGAUAUUCUUCCUUCGCUAAGAGAUGACAAAGACCAAGACAUCUCCUCGUCGCCUGGCAUCAUCUUCAAAUAUACGUCUGACAUAAAUUACAUAAACAUUGAGAGAGACUUAAAAGAAAACUUAUUCAAGUUAAAAAAAAUAGAAUUAAAAUAAUAUCUAUUAAAAAUUAAGUAAUCAUACAAAUACAAUCAGUUUUGUACAAUAUGCAUAAACCGAUGUAGUAUGAAUAGAUUGGCUAAAAACGAUCAUAAUUAUUAUUAUUUUUAUUUAUGUAGACCCAUGAUAAUUUUAUACAAAUAAGCUUCUCAUGACACAUCAAUUUGUACACACUUAUGUGUAUAAAGUAAUUGAAACUCUCUAAUUACUUAAAAGUUAAUUAGUGAAUACCAAAGAUAAUAAUAUGAGAAUAAAGAUAAAAGUAGAUUUCAACUAAAACAUAACUACCAACAUGGUUUGACUUAAAUUGAUUUUUUCUGAUGAUAAACUUAAAUUUCUUUUAAUUAAUAUAUUUCAAUGCCUUUUCUUUUAAUUUCUUUCUCUUUAACGAAAUUGAAUCAUAUGAAUUAUCAUCACAUAACAAGUGGACAUAGUAUUAUUUUCUGAGCAAAGUUUUGUGAAAAUCUAAAUCAACAACUGAUCAAGCAAGGUCAAACAAAAAGAUUCGAAAAAUUGGCAUGAAAAAACUUCUUUCGUAGCAGCAAAUUAAGUUUUACGAAAAUCUAAAUCAACAACAUACAUAACUCACCCGCUGUUCAAAAGUCAAAAUUAUAACUUGUUCCAGGAAUGACUGAAAAAAUAAUACAUCUCUACCUCAAUUAAUUGGGAACUGAAAACAGAGAGCAAAAAUACUUUAUUACAGUGCUUUUGUCAAAGUUUUUGAGAAAAAAUAACUAGUACUCAAUAUUUCUCUCCAGGCUAUUAUCAAACAAUCACCAAUACUAUGAGGUGAUUCGAAAUUAAUCUUAAUGCUUAUUUUUUAAAUACCUGGCUGCUGAUAGAAGUGAAUCAGAGUUGCAGAUCUUGCUUCUGUUAUCUCUCUUUAUACUUCCAGACUUUCUUCAAUCAAAGAACUGACCCAAGUUCUAUCUCUUAGAAGUGAGCCAAUUUC